CAGGUUGACCUCGGAUCAGGUAGGGAUACCCGCUGAACUUAAGCAUAUCAAUAAGCGGAGGAAAAGAAACCAACAGGGAUUGCCUCAGUAACGGCGAGUGAAGCGGCAAGAGCUCAAAUUUGAAAGCUGGCUCCUUCGGGGUCCGCAUUGUAAUUUGCAGAGGAUGCUUCGGGAGCAGCCCCCAUCUAAGUGGCCUGGAACGGUCCGUCAUAGAGGGUGAAAAUCCCGUCUGGGAUGGGGUGUCUGCGCCCGUGUGAAGCUCCUUCGACGAGUCGAGUUGUUUGGGAAUGCAGCUCUAAAUGGGUGGUAAAUUUCAUCUAAAGCUAAAUACUGGCCGGAGACCGAUAGCGCACAAGUAGAGUGAUCGAAAGAUGAAAAGCACUUUGAAAAGAGAGUUAAAAAGCACGUGAAAUUGUUGAAAGGGAAGCGCUUGCGACCAGACUCGCCCACGGGGUUCAGCCGGCAUUCGUGCCGGUGUACUUCCCCGCGGGCGGGCCAGCGUCGGUUUGGGCGGCCGGUCAAAGGCCCUCGGAAUGUAACGCCCCCCGGGGCGUCUUAUAGCCGAGGGUGCCAUGCGGCCAGCCCGGACCGAGGAACGCGCUUCGGCUCGGACGCUGGCAUAAUGGUCGUAAGCGACCCGUCU
Molecule: ribosomal RNA, 643 nt
Filed under: Penicillium soosanum
Lineage: Eukaryota; Fungi; Ascomycota; Eurotiomycetes; Eurotiales; Aspergillaceae
Description: partial 28S ribosomal RNA
Rfam family: Eukaryotic large subunit ribosomal RNA
Source: RNAcentral